This is a long non-coding RNA of Priapulus caudatus, 193 nucleotides long. RefSeq lists it as uncharacterized. The transcript has 3 exons. NCBI's taxonomy places the organism in Eukaryota, Metazoa, Priapulida, Priapulimorpha, Priapulimorphida, Priapulidae. The record is from RefSeq and is a predicted model, not a curated record.
AACACAAAACAUUCUUCACUUCAGUACGUGCACGUGCAAAAGUCAACACCCCAUCGCAGGAUCUUUAGACAGUAAAUUUGAGUAAUCUUAAAAGGAAAUGGCGGAAAAGGUUAGGCAGUAUGGACUCGACGAUGUGAAACGUUUGAAGACAACAGGAGACUACCUCAAACAACUAUCGAAAUCGGGACUAUGG